Molecule: ribosomal RNA, 252 nt
Filed under: uncultured bacterium
Lineage: Bacteria
Description: partial 16S ribosomal RNA
Rfam family: Bacterial small subunit ribosomal RNA
Source: RNAcentral
ACGAAGGGGGCGAGCGUUGUUCGGAGUUACUGGGCGUAAAGGGCGCGUAGGCGGCGAUCCAAGUUAGGCGUGAAAGCCCCGGGCUUAACCUGGGAAUUGCGCUUAAGACUGGACUGCUUGAGUGCGGGAGAGGUGAGUGGAAUUCCCAGUGUAGAGGUGAAAUUCGUAGAUAUUGGGAAGAACACCAGUGGCGAAGGCGGCUCACUGGCCCGCAACUGACGCUGAGGCGCGAAAGCGUGGGGAGCAAACAGG